AUUGAACGCUGGCGGCAUGCCUUACACAUGCAAGUCGAACGGUAACAGGUCUUCGGAUGCUGACGAGUGGCGCACGGGUGAGUAAUACAUCGGAACGUGCCCGAUCGUGGGGGUUAACGAGGCGAAAGCUUUGCUAAUACCGCAUACGAUCUACGGAUGAAAUCGGGGGAUCUUCGGACCUCGCGCGGACGGAGCGGCCGAUGGCCGAUUAGGUAGUUGGUGGGAUAAAAGCUUACCAAGCCGACGAUCUGUAGCUGGUCUGAGAGGAUGAUCAGCCACACUGGGACUGAGACACGGCCCAGACUCCUACGGGAGGCAGCAGUGGGGAAUAUUGGACAAUGGGCGAAAGCAUGAUCCAGCAAUGCCGCGUGCAGGAUGAAGGCCUUUGGGUUGUAAACUGCUUUUGUACGGAAAGAAAAGACUCUUACUAAUAAAGAGGGGUAAUGACGGUACCGAAAGAAUAAGCACCGGCUAACUACGUG
RNAcentral lists this ribosomal RNA (482 nucleotides) under uncultured bacterium. RNAcentral describes it as "partial 16S ribosomal RNA". It matches the Rfam family "Bacterial small subunit ribosomal RNA", at positions 30 to 507 of the family's 1533-position model. The record is from RNAcentral.